RNAcentral lists this unclassified non-coding RNA (196 nucleotides) under plant metagenome. RNAcentral's name for it is "partial contains small subunit ribosomal RNA, internal transcribed spacer 1, and 5.8S ribosomal RNA". The record is from RNAcentral.
UUUCCGUAGGUGAACCUGCGGAAGGAUCAUUAACAAAUCUAAGAGUGAGCGGGGGCAAGCCUCCGCACACGGACCGGGCACCCGAGAGGGCGUUCGCCUGUAGGCCGCAAGGCGCUGCAGAAAUUGACGUGUAUGUGUGUCUUAAUAAUGUAAUUUUAAUAUAGAACAACUUUUAACAAUGGAUCUCUUGGUUCUG